GAUGAACGCUGGCGGCGUGCCUAAUACAUGCAAGUCGAGCGAACAGACGAGGAGCUUGCUCCUCUGACGUUAGCGGCGGACGGGUGAGUAACACGUGGAUAACCUACCUAUAAGACUGGGAUAACUUCGGGAAACCGGAGCUAAUACCGGAUAAUAUAUUGAACCGCAUGGUUCAAUAGUGAAGGACGGUUUUGCUGUCACUUAUAGAUGGAUCCGCGCCGCAUUAGCUAGUUGGUAAGGUAACGGCUUACCAAGGCAACGAUGCGUAGCCGACCUGAGAGGGUGAUCGGCCACACUGGAACUGAGACACGGUCCAGACUCCUACGGGAGGCAGCAGUAGAGAAUCUUCCGCAAUGGGCGAAAGCUUGACGGAGCAACGCCGCGUGAGUGAUGAAGGUCUUCGGAUCGUAAAACUCUGUUAUUAGGGAAGAACAAAUGUGUAAGUAACUAUGCACGUCUUGACGGUACCUAAUCAGAAAGCCACGGCUAACUACGUG
Molecule: ribosomal RNA, 497 nt
Filed under: uncultured bacterium
Lineage: Bacteria
Description: partial 16S ribosomal RNA
Rfam family: Bacterial small subunit ribosomal RNA
Source: RNAcentral